UUUCAAAAAUUCAUGAUGAUUUUUUUGGUUGAAUUUUACAAUUGGACAUUCUCACUCUUCGUAUUUCGGAGCACAAACGAUGGCUAUAGCCUCAGCCAUCAUCAAUUGGAAUCAGCAAGCACACCGCAAGUUUCUUUAUUGUUCGACGUGUUCUUGAAAGCAAGAUGAAGAAACUCUGACAUUGUUCUACUUGGGAGAACGACUUCGCGUAAGCUCUGUUUAUCAUGGACAAACGGUGUUGGUUUUGUUGAACGAUCUAUCGAUGGAGUUUUCCUGUGAAUCGAAGUAAAUGUUUGAAUGAUUCGAGACACGAAACAUGACCAAAAGUUAGGUCUCCGGAUUGAAUGAUUCCAUUUCGAUUUAUAUUUCUCAUUUCACAUUUUGGAGAUGGGAAAUAUUUGAGGCGAUCCGCUGGUACUGCGAGAGGAUCAAAUUCUGCAGCAACCGUAGGGAAUGGAGGUGGCGCAGAUGGUUGUAAUAGUUCUGUUUCUGCAUUCCCAAGCACAGAGGGAUUCAGCACAGUUUUAGCCGAUUGGGCUGCAGCAAGGGCAGCCAAUUUAUUUUGUCGGUCUUCUUCUUCUUUUAACCUGGGUUGCACAAAGAGAUAUCAAAUUUCAUAAAACCAAUAUAUGAAUUAAAAAAUAUAACUGAACAAAAAUCUUGAUUUAUCAAAAAAAUUAUUUGGAAUAUCUAAAAUUUGUGAAAGAAAUCAAUAAAUUAUGCCUCGGUCAUGGAUCGAAUGGAAAUAA
This is a long non-coding RNA of Venturia canescens, 749 nucleotides long. RefSeq lists it as uncharacterized. The transcript is spliced from 4 exons. Lineage: Eukaryota; Metazoa; Arthropoda; Insecta; Hymenoptera; Ichneumonidae. The record is from RefSeq and is a predicted model, not a curated record.